Molecule: ribosomal RNA, 1114 nt
Filed under: Salmonella enterica subsp. enterica serovar Typhimurium
Lineage: Bacteria; Pseudomonadati; Pseudomonadota; Gammaproteobacteria; Enterobacterales; Enterobacteriaceae
Description: partial 23S ribosomal RNA
Rfam family: Bacterial large subunit ribosomal RNA
Source: RNAcentral
AUCUAAGUACCCCGAGGAAAAGAAAUCAACCGAGAUUCCCCCAGUAGCGGCGAGCGAACGGGGAGGAGCCCAGAGCCUGAAUCAGCAUGUGUGUUAGUGGAAGCGUCUGGAAAGGCGCGCGAUACAGGGUGACAGCCCCGUACACAAAAGCGCAUGUGCUGUGAGCUCGAUGAGUAGGGCGGGACACGUGGUAUCCUGUCUGAAUAUGGGGGGACCAUCCUCCAAGGCUAAAUACUCCUGACUGACCGAUAGUGAACCAGUACCGUGAGGGAAAGGCGAAAAGAACCCCGGCGAGGGGAGUGAAAAAGAACCUGAAACCGUGUACGUACAAGCAGUGGGAGCACAGGUUUACCUGUGUGACUGCGUACCUUUUGUAUAAUGGGUCAGCGACUUAUAUUCUGUAGCAAGGUUAACCGUAUAGGGGAGCCGGAGGGAAACCGAGUCUUAAUUGGGCGUUAAGUUGCAGGGUAUAGACCCGAAACCCGGUGAUCUAGCCAUGGGCAGGUUGAAGGUUGGGUAACACUAACUGGAGGACCGAACCGACUAAUGUUGAAAAAUUAGCGGAUGACCUGUGGCUGGGGGUGAAAGGCCAAUCAAACCGGGAGAUAGCUGGUUCUCCCCGAAAGCUAUUUAGGUAGCGCCUCGUGAAUUCAUCUCCGGGGGUAGAGCACUGUUUCGGCUAGGGGGCCAUCCCGGCUUACCAACCCGAUGCAAACUGCGAAUACCGGAGAAUGUUAUCACGGGAGACACACGGCGGGUGCUAACGUCCGUCGUGAAGAGGGAAACAACCCAGACCGCCAGCUAAGGUCCCAAAGUCAUGGUUAAGUGGGAAACGAUGUGGGAAGGCCCAGACAGCCAGGAUGUUGGCUUAGAAGCAGCCAUCAUUUAAAGAAAGCGUAAUAGCUCACUGGUCGAGUCGGCCUGCGCGGAAGAUGUAACGGGGCUAAACCAUGCACCGAAGCUGCGGCAGCGAACGUAUCACUUAAAGCGAUUCAGCGGGUUACGAUUGACGGAGCGAAGCGACGUCAAAGCGUAUACAAAGUCGAGUCGGUUUAAGGAUACGUUCGUUGGGUAGGGGAGCGUUCUGUAAGCCUGUGAAGGUGGCCUGUGAGGG